AUUGAACGCUGGCGGCAUGCCUUACACAUGCAAGUCGAAUGGUAACAGGUUAAGCUGACGAGUGGCGAACGGGUGAGUAAUAUAUCGGAACGUGCCCAGUCGUGGGGGAUAACGUAGCGAAAGCUACGCUAAUACCGCAUACGAUCUACGGAUAAAAGCGGGGGAUCGCAAGACCUCGCGCGAUUGGAGCGGCCGAUAUCAGAUUAGGUUGUUGGUGAGGUAAAAGCUCACCAAGCCUGCGACCUGUAGCUGGUCUGAGAGGACGACCAGCCACACUGGAACUGAGACACGGUCCAGACUCCUACGGGAGGCAGCAGUGGGGAAUUUUGGACAAUAGACGCAAGUCUGAUCCAGCAAUGCCGCGUGCAGGACGAAGGCCUUCGGGUUGUAAACUGCUUUUGUACGGAACGAAACGGUGAGCUCUAAUACAGUUUGCUAAUGACGGUACCGUAAGAAUAAGCACCGGCUAACUACGUGCCAGCAGCCGCGGUAA
RNAcentral lists this ribosomal RNA (493 nucleotides) under uncultured bacterium. RNAcentral describes it as "partial 16S ribosomal RNA". It matches the Rfam family "Bacterial small subunit ribosomal RNA", at positions 30 to 523 of the family's 1533-position model. The record is from RNAcentral.